RNAcentral lists this ribosomal RNA (400 nucleotides) under uncultured bacterium. Its description in RNAcentral is "bacterial SSU rRNA". It matches the Rfam family "Bacterial small subunit ribosomal RNA", at positions 355 to 748 of the family's 1533-position model. The record is from RNAcentral.
UCGAGAAUCUUUAGCAAUGCCCGAAAGGGUGACUAUGCGACGCCGCGUGCAGGAUGAAGGCCUUCGGGUUGUAAACUGCUGUCAGGGAGGAAGAAACCACCGGUGUUAACAGCAUCGGUGCUGACAUCACUCCCAAAGGAAGCCACGGCUAACUCUGUGCCAGCAGCCGCGGUAAGACAGAGGUGGCAAGCGUUGUUCGGAUUUAUUGGGUGUAAAGGGUCCGUAGGCGGUCUAGCAAGUCUGGUGUGAAAUCCCAUGGCUCAACCGUGGAACUGCAUUGGAAACUGCUUGACUUGAGUAUCGUAGAGGCAAAGGGAAUUCCCGGUGUAAGGGUGAAAUCUGUAGAUAUCGGGAGGAACACCAGUGGCGAAAGCGCUUUGCUGGACGAUUACUGACGCUG